Molecule: ribosomal RNA, 430 nt
Filed under: uncultured bacterium
Lineage: Bacteria
Description: partial 16S ribosomal RNA
Rfam family: Bacterial small subunit ribosomal RNA
Source: RNAcentral
GUGGGGAAUAUUGCACAAUGGGCGCAAGCCUGAUGCAGCAACGCCGCGUGAGGGAUGACGGCCUUCGGGUUGUAAACCUCUUUUAGUAGGGAAGAAGCGUAAGUGACGGUACCUGCAGAAAAAGCACCGGCUAACUACGUGCCAGCAGCCGCGGUAAUACGUAGGGUGCAAGCGUUGUCCGGAAUUAUUGGGCGUAAAGAGCUCGUAGGCGGCUUGUCGCGUCUGCUGUGAAAUCACGGAGCUCAACUCCGGGCGUGCAGUGCGUACGGGCAGGCUAGAGUGCGGUAGGGGAGAUUGGAAUUCCUGGUGUAGCGGUGGAAUGCGCAGAUAUCAGGAGGAACACCGAUGGCGAAGGCAGAUCUCUGGGCCGUAACUGACGCUGAGGAGCGAAAGCAUGGGGAGCGAACAGGAUUAGAAACCCCUGUAGUCC